RNAcentral lists this ribosomal RNA (253 nucleotides) under uncultured bacterium. RNAcentral's name for it is "partial 16S ribosomal RNA". It matches the Rfam family "Bacterial small subunit ribosomal RNA", at positions 524 to 776 of the family's 1533-position model. The record is from RNAcentral.
GACGUAGGGCGCGAGCGUUGUCCGGAUUUAUUGGGCGUAAAGAGCUCGUAGGCGGCUUGUCGCGUCGUCCGUGAAAACCCACAGCUCAACUGUGGGCUUGCGGUCGAUACGGGCAGGCUAGAGUUCGGUAGGGGAGACUGGAAUUCCUGGUGUAGCGGUGAAAUGCGUAGAUAUCUGGAGGAACACCGGUGGCGAAGGCGGCAUCCUGGACCAAUACUGACGCUGAGGAGCGAAAGCCAGGGGAGCAAACGGG